RNAcentral lists this small RNA (100 nucleotides) under uncultured Flavobacterium sp. RNAcentral's name for it is "Flavo-1 RNA". It matches the Rfam family "Flavo-1 RNA". The record is from RNAcentral. Lineage: Bacteria; Pseudomonadati; Bacteroidota; Flavobacteriia; Flavobacteriales; Flavobacteriaceae.
CUAGCCCCGAUAGCAGUGGAUAUCCUUUUUUGUUUUUGAAAAUGCCUCUCGUGUAAUGCAUUGGGCGAAAAACAAAAAAGAUUGGAACGUAUAGCGGGAU